Molecule: ribosomal RNA, 465 nt
Filed under: Vreelandella stevensii
Lineage: Bacteria; Pseudomonadati; Pseudomonadota; Gammaproteobacteria; Oceanospirillales; Halomonadaceae
Description: partial 16S ribosomal RNA
Rfam family: Bacterial small subunit ribosomal RNA
Source: RNAcentral
CCUACGGGGGGCAGCAGUGGGGAAUAUUGGACAAUGGGGGCAACCCUGAUCCAGCCAUGCCGCGUGUGUGAAGAAGGCCCUCGGGUUGUAAAGCACUUUCAGUGAGGAAGAACGCCUGGUGGUUAAUACCCAUCAGGAAAGACAUCACUCACAGAAGAAGCACCGGCUAACUCCGUGCCAGCAGCCGCGGUAAUACGGAGGGUGCGAGCGUUAAUCGGAAUUACUGGGCGUAAAGCGCGCGUAGGUGGCUUGAUAAGCCGGUUGUGAAAGCCCCGGGCUCAACCUGGGAACGGCAUCCGGAACUGUCAAGCUAGAGUGCAGGAGAGGAAGGUAGAAUUCCCGGUGUAGGGGUGAAAUGCGUAGAGAUCGGGAGGAAUACCAGUGGCGAAGGCGGCCUUCUGGACUGACACUGACACUGAGGUGCGAAAGCGUGGGUAGCAAACAGGAUUAGAUACCCGUGUAGUC